Molecule: ribosomal RNA, 1365 nt
Filed under: metagenome
Description: bacterial LSU rRNA
Rfam family: Bacterial large subunit ribosomal RNA
Source: RNAcentral
UCAGGCGAAGUCAUUAAUCCUAUGCUGCCUAGAAAAGCCCAGUAGCGAGUUGACAUGGUGCCCGUACCCCAAACCAACACAGGUGGACAGGUAGAGCAUACCAAGGCGAGUGGGAUAACUAUGGUUAAGGAACUCGGCAAAUUUCCUCCGUAACUUCGGGAUAAGGAGGACCCCAGUAGCGUGACGAGACUUGCUCUCCGAGCGUGAAGGGGUGGCACAAAAUUGAGGGAAGCGACUGUUUACCAAAAACACAGCAGCGUGCUAAGCCGUAAGGCGCUGUAUACGCUGUGACUCCUGCCCGGUGCUGGAAGGUUACGGGGAUGGGUUAGUCCUUCGGGACGAAGCUCUGAACCUAAGCCCCAGUAAACGGCGGCCGUAACUAUAACGGUCCUAAGGUAGCGAAAUUCCUUGUCGGGUAAGUUCCGACCUGCACGAAUGGAGUAACGACUUCCCUACUGUCUCAACCAUAGACCCAGCGAAAUUGAAGUACGAGUAAAGAUGCUCGUUAGCUGCAGAAGGACGGAAAGACCCCGUGGACCUUUACUAUAACUUGAUGUUGUGUUUUGUCAUAUGUUGUGUAGGAUAGGUGGGAGACAAGGAAGCAUGGACGCUAGUCUUUUGGAGUCAUCGUUGAAAUACCACCCUGCAUAUGGUGAGGCUCUAACCUAGACCCGUUAUCCGGGUUGGGGACAGCGUCAGGCGGGUAGUUUAACUGGGGCGGUUGCCUCCUAAAGAGUAACGGAGGCGCCCAAAGGUUCCCUCAGCCUGGUUGGCAAUCAGGCGUCGAGUGCAAUGGCAAAAGGGAGCUUGACUGCGAGACCUACAAGUCGAGCAGGAGCGAAAGCUGGGCAUAGUGAUCCGGCGGUUGCGUGCGGAAGCGCCGUCGCUCAACGGAUAAAAGGUACCCCGGGGAUAACAGGCUAAUCUUGCCCAAGCGUCCAUAGCGACGGCAAGGUUUGGCACCUCGAUGUCGGCUCAUCGCAUCCUGGGGCUGAAGCAGGUCCCAAGGGUUGGGCUGUUCGCCCAUUAAAGCGGUACGCGAGCUGGGUUCAGAACGUCGUGAGACAGUUCGGUCCCUAUCCUCUGUAGCCGUAGGUGAAUUGAGGAAAGCUGUCCCUAGUACGAGAGGACCGGGACGGACGCAGCUCUCGUGUGCCAGUUGUCCUGCCAAGGGCAUGGCUGGUUAGCGACCUGCGGAAAGGAUAACCGCUGAAAGCAUCUAAGCGGGAAGCCUCUUCCGAGAUGAAUUCACCCACAGGGUUAACCUGGUAAGGCCCGUGGUAGACCACCACGUUGAUAGGCCGGAAGUGUAAGCGUGGCAACACGUUCAGCUGACCGGUACUAAUCGGCCGAGGGCUUGAAUUC